Long non-coding RNA from Bos taurus (domestic cattle), 3070 nucleotides. The record is from Ensembl. Lineage: Eukaryota; Metazoa; Chordata; Mammalia; Artiodactyla; Bovidae.
AGAAAGAGAAUGAAAGGGAGAGAGAGAGUUCUCAGCUCAGAAAGCUAACUUAUAACAAGCAAAACCUUUUAUAAAGCCCAUACCUUGGGGAAGAGGAGGAGGCAAACAAGGCUUUGCAUCUUCAUUUUUGGGCAGAAUCCCUGAGAUUGUGAUAGGAAGAGGAAGGUCUAAGUAACCUUAGAGGGAAAACUUAGUUUCCUCUAAGAGGGGGAAAGUGCUCCUUGAUUUUAGGGGGAGAGAAAAUUGAGACACCACUCUAAGUGGCUCCAGUUAUAACUUUAAGAUUCGGAUAAGCAGAGGUCUGUCUUUUAGAGAUAAGCCCUCUUCUGGAAUGGGCUGGUGACCCCUCUAGAAUUACAAUGUUUUCUUUUUUUUUUUUUUUCAAUUUAAUAUUGACACUUGAGUUUAUUAAAGCACAAAACUAGUCUAAGACUUUUGGAACAUUCUCUAUAUGGUUGGAAAUAUUACGACAGGAAAUUAGUGAAUUACAAUGUUUUCAAGUCACUCUAGAAUCUAGACAGAGGGAUAGGCAUAGCUGGGUCAGAUUUAGAACCCAGAAUGAUGGGUACAGCCUGCACCACCCACAGCUGAGCGAGCACUGAAGAAGCAGGGUUGCUAAGGCAUCACAGUUCAGCCUGUCCUCCUCUCUCUUUCCAUUUUAAAGUCACUCGUCAUCAGUCUCCAGUCCAAAAUCUUCGAGACUGCAAGGCAUCAUCACUAGGCAAAAAUGCUGGAUGGGCACGCAAGCAACUCUGGAGAGCAAUCUCUAUUUUAUGGGUGAGGCCAAUGAGGCCUUUUCAGGUGAAAAAAAAAAUCACCCAGCAUCAUGCAGUCGGUUAGCAGUUAAGGCCGGACCUGACCCAGAGCCACAGACCACCACACAGGACCUUUGUAUGGGGCUGCUUUGUUGCUAAACGUUCAUUUCACCACAGGCAGACCUCAAAUACUUGAAUGCUUUCUGAGUAUCAGGCCUGCAGAAAUUCGUGGAAAUGCUGCAUUAGGUUUCUGCUCGCUGAAUUUGGUCAGGUGGCCAAUAUCUAAAUCAGAAGGCAACACCACUUCCUGCUGACUCGGCCUGGAGGAGUCGUCAAGUCCUCAUUAAUAGUAAGAGGUCUUAGGUGGCCAGAAUCUCAUCUAGGUUGUUGGCACAUUAAUUCCACAGACAUACUUCUUGCCCCGCAGCCCUAAGCCUGACCUGGGACCUGAAACAAAAAGUCUUCUAAGAGGUAGCUUAGACAAAGAUACAGUUCAAUAGGAACUGGGGGCAGGAUUCUCAUUUGAUUGGGGUAAUGUCAACUUGAGUUAAGUAGCAACCCACUGAACACCUGCUGACACCACACUUGCCUGAGAGCACGAUGCUCUGAGUGGUUCCCAAACCCCAGGGAGCUAUAUAGUUCCCUGUAGAGCGUGUUAUGCUGAUGGCUGGGCCCAUGCUGGCGUUUCUGACUCAGUGGGCCUGGGUCAGGGCCCUAGAAUCUGCAUUACUAACAAUUCCAGGUGAUGUGGAGGCUGCUGAUUGGGGAACACACUUGGACCACCACUGCUCCAAGCAGCCACCCCAUCGUCCAUGGGCUCAACUACUGGACUGUUAAAAAGAACUCUGCAUUGGGCCAUUUUGGCUCUGGUGACCCUAUAAUUGGGAGGACAACUUGACGCAGAGUGGAACUCGUGACGUGCCCUAGAAGAGAGGGCACCCGAGACCCCAAAAGAUGAAGCAGCCAGCAAGGGGACAAAGGAACCACACAUCUCAUUUACAACAGUUGGAGAAGACCAGAAGCCAACAGUCCAGAGUUUUGUAACACAGUCUGGAAUCAGCCAAGAUACCUCAUGUGAUAGGGCUGGCAGGUCAUUGGAAGUAGAAACCAGGUUUCCUAUAUUUUUAAAGUGGAAUUUCUCCUUUGAAUAAAGCCUCUGCCCUCAGAACAUAGAUGACUCAUCUUGCAUUUCUGGCUCCUCUGCUUUAGAAGACUUCACUGGGUUCAGAUUCCGGAAUAGCCGCUCAACAAUGCUCACCAUCGGCAUUCCGAGGGAGGGCAAAGAAGGAAGCUGGAGAUGAGAAGGGGCGGCACAGGACGGGUGGAGUAGCUGAGACAUGUGGUGCCUGGCAAACACUUAUCAAGGAAAGAUCUGAGGCUGUUUCAACUGCUAAUCUAAGACUUUAGAAGUCAGGCAACAUGACCCAAGAAUAAAGAGAAGCAGAGUCCUAGAGCUAUGGUGGUGGUUUAGUUGCUCAGUCAUGUUCAACUCUUGCGACCCCCUGGACUGUAGCCCGCCAUGCUCCUCUGUCCAUGGAAUUCUCUAGGCAAGAAUACUGGAGUGGGAAGAAUCCUAGAGCUAUAGGCUGAACCUAUUCAUGUUGACUCCUGUCUGAUUCAUCAGACAGGAAAGAGAUGUCAUGUCCCUCCCAGGAGUCAGUUGGACAGCAGGGCAGAGGGUGCAAUGGUACAAAUUGGAUGAAAUGUAAGCUGUGAUGGAUUAACCUUUAGCUUCCCACAUGGCAGAGCUAACUUUGAAGUUUUCCCUUCCACUGAGAUGUGAAAAGGAAGGGACAAAGUUCCCUCAACUUGACAAAGUUGCCCUAAUUGACUAUUCUGAUUAUCAGAAUUCCAUACCUACCUUUUCCUUGGUUAUCUGAGGUUUCAAAAGGCUAGUGGCACUCAGAGUACACCAUCAGGGGAGCACUCUUAGGUUCCCAGGUCAACUCCGUUCCCAAGGCCUUUGAAAUGAUUGUGAAUAUUAUUGAGCACUUCCCAUGGGGCCCUGCUGGGCUGAACUGUCUGCAACACUUCAUUUAAUCUUACAGCAGUCCAAUGAAGAAGUUAUUAUCAUUUUGCAGAAGAGGGAAGGCUAAGGGAGGUCAAGUUAACUCACUCAAGGCACGUGGCUAAGAGUUGGCAGAGUCUGAAAGGCAGAUUUUGAGUUCAGGUAGUCCUGAGUCCAUAGCCCAAGUACAUUGAUUAAGGAUGACUCAUUCCAUGUAAUCAUCCCAUGGUGUUGGAGAAGACUCUUGAGAGUCCCUUGGACUGCAAGAAGAACCAACCAGUCCAUCCUAAAGGAAAUCAGUCCUGAA